CUCAGAUCUCCCUGCAGCAAACUGACAUGCCAUGGACUAUCCAUCCUUACACUCAAUAAAGGGCACCCACAUUGUUAUAAAAACUUGUGGGGGAGAUUCACAUGCAGCUGGAGCUUAGUUUUCCCUCUUCUGAUUCUAGUUAUGUUGGAAGGAAGAAAAAGAUUCAAUCUGCUUAGCACUCUUCCUCUUCUUCAGUUAAUUCCUGAUAGCAGCACAAGACAUAUUUGUUUUCCCCAGAAUUGACAAGGUGAUGGUUCUUGCAGGACUAAAUGACAAUACAGAGGAAGACUUUAUGAAGGAGUUUCUCCCAUUAGUUUUUUUUUUCAUACGGGAAAUAUGAGAACUCAGAAAGGUUUCAGAACGAUGAAAAAAUGGAUAACAGAACAUUACAAGAUAGCCAAAGGUACAAAAUACAAAGUCUUCUUUUUAAAGAGACGUGAUAUUUGGAUCCUCUGAAGAUUCUGAAAAGGUUAUCAGGCAACACCACUGUAUUAAUAACACAAUGAAAUCACCUGACUGAAAUGGACUGCCAUUUUUUUAAAAACACAUUAUUUUGGAGGAAGUGAAAUAAUGGAAGUGCAUCUGAUUCAUUUUAUUAAACCAGCAGCUGUCUAAAAAAAAAUAA
This is a long non-coding RNA of Pantherophis guttatus, 625 nucleotides long. RefSeq lists it as uncharacterized. Lineage: Eukaryota; Metazoa; Chordata; Lepidosauria; Squamata; Colubridae. The record is from RefSeq and is a predicted model, not a curated record.